GACGAACGCUGGCGGCGUGCCUAACACAUGCAAGUUGAGCGACGAACCAGGGCUUGCCCUGGGGCAAAGCAGCGAACGGGUGAGUAACACGUGGGUAACCUACCCCGAUAACCGGGACAACCCGAGGAAACUCGGGCUAAUACCGGAUGUGCUCACUGGACUUCGGUUCAGUGCGUAAAGGAAGCUUCGGCCUCCGUAUCGGGAGGGGCCCGCGGCCCAUUAGUUUGUUGGUGAGGUAACGGCUCACCAAGACCGCGAUGGGUAGCUGGUCUGAGAGGACGAUCAGCCACACUGGGACGGAGACACGGCCCAGACUCCUACGGGAGGCACCAGUGGGGAAUCUUGCGCAAUGGGCGAAAGCGUGACGCAGCAACGCCGCGUGGGGGAAGAAGGCCUUCGGGUUGUAAACCCCUUUCAGGAGGGACGAAGGUUCGGCGGUGAAUAGCCGUCCGGACUGACGGUACCUCCACAAGAAGCCCCGGCUAACUACGUG
This 493-nucleotide ribosomal RNA is filed under the name uncultured bacterium. RNAcentral describes it as "partial 16S ribosomal RNA". It matches the Rfam family "Bacterial small subunit ribosomal RNA", at positions 28 to 507 of the family's 1533-position model. The record is from RNAcentral.